RNAcentral lists this ribosomal RNA (253 nucleotides) under uncultured bacterium. RNAcentral's name for it is "partial 16S ribosomal RNA". It matches the Rfam family "Bacterial small subunit ribosomal RNA", at positions 524 to 776 of the family's 1533-position model. The record is from RNAcentral.
UACGUAGGGUGCAAGCGUUGUCCGGAAUUAUUGGGCGUAAAGAGCUCGUAGGCGGUCUGUCGCGUCUGCUGUGAAAACUCGGGGCUUAACCCCGGGCCUGCAGUGGGUACGGGCAGACUAGAGUGCGGUAGGGGAGACUGGAAUUCCUGGUGUAGCGGUGAAAUGCGCAGAUAUCAGGAGGAACACCGGUGGCGAAGGCGGGUCUCUGGGCCGUACCUGACACUGAUGCGCGACAGCAUGGGGAGCAAACAGG